Molecule: long non-coding RNA, 934 nt
Organism: Neltuma alba
Lineage: Eukaryota; Viridiplantae; Streptophyta; Magnoliopsida; Fabales; Fabaceae
Exons: 2
Source: RefSeq, a predicted model, not a curated record
AGUCACUUACAACUCUCUUAUUGAUGGCUUGUGCAAAGCUAAGAGAAUGUCAUAUGUGAAAGAUCUUGUUUAUGAGAUGCGUCACAAUGGUCACGCUCCUAAUAUAAUAACCUACAAUAUCAUAUUGGAUGCAUCUUGCAAAAUGAGACAUCUUGACAAGGCAAUUGCAUUAUAUCAACAUAUUGUCAAUGAAGGAAUACAACCUACAAUACAUUCACACAACAUACUAAUUGACGGUUUGUGCAAAGAAGGUAGGUUAAAAUUGGCACAAGACAUCUUUGAAUUUCUUGUGACCGAAGGUCAUCAUCUAGAUAUCUAUACUUACAACAUUAUGAUGAAUGGACUUUGCAAAGAAGGCCUUUUCGAUGAAGCAUUAGCAUUGCUUUCAAAAAUGAAAGAGAAUGGCUGCCUCCCUGAUUUGGUGACAUUUAGAACACUUGUUGGAGCUCUUUUGAUGAAAAAUCAGAGUGACAAAUCAGAGAUUCUUGUUCAUGUAAUGAUAGACACAGGUCUUCUGAAACAGUAAAAUAAGGUCUGACUGUAUGCUGUGAAAAGGGUACAAGAAAAGGCCAAGCUUAUCCAGAUUGUGAUCAAAAGCAAGUAACUACUUGACUGGGGAAACUUGCUGCGAUCAUCCGGUUAGAGACAUCAAUGAAGAAGCAAGAAGAAUGGUUUCAAGAGUUUUGGAUGUUCUGUUUUGAAUGAUUUAUAGGGAAGGUAAUUAUAGCGCUGAUUCUUUAUUUACAUCAUUGAGGAAGCAUUGGUCUUUACACCCAGGUACCCCCUCCUUCAUUGAAGGGGGGGCGUUUGAUGAAAGUUCUGUUGAUGUUUUUUGUACUUUGGUGUUUCACUUUAAUUUAAUAUAAUAGCUUUCAAAGUUUAUUCAAAAUAACAAAAUUUAUAAAUAUUGAAAAUUGUCAACUUUUGCAGUUCA